Amphiprion ocellaris (clown anemonefish) is the source of this 1664-nucleotide long non-coding RNA. The record is from Ensembl. Lineage: Eukaryota; Metazoa; Chordata; Actinopteri; Pomacentridae.
CAACAGCCUCCUCUUUGUGUGAGCUCUUUCUACUUAACCCACUGUCACUUUUAGAUGGAAGAGGUGCAAUUCAAGGGACAGCUCAGCCAAUGAAAGGGAAGCUCUCAAAAAGACAUCAGACCAUUUGAGAGCACAAUUUGUCUUGAUUGAGUCUGGAGAACACAGCUGAUGCCACUCGCACAGAUGAAGUACUCGCAUAAAAAAGCAAAGAAACUCCAACUGUUGGUAGGCACAGUGAUGUUGGCGCUUAUUCUUCUGGUUUUGGCCCAUUUGGCCAUAUCAAGUGGUCAGUCAGGCAAUCGUCGAUACACCCACAACCACUGGAUCCACAACCAUGAGACUCCACGGUUCGAUGAUAUUGACAGCCUGUUUCUAAUGGAAGGGAAAGUCAUUUGGCCUGUAUCUGCACAAGAAAUGCAUGGACCGGUGAUGGAGGCCGAUCAGAAACUGUCGACUUCUCCACAGCCACAUCUAAUGAAGGAUCAAGAUUCCAAAAAAGAAGCAAAAGAAUCGGCAGUGUGGAAAAUAGUGCUGGUAGUCGCCAUCCUGCUGGUGUCUGUGGUGGGAUCUCUGAGCAUGGCCUAUUACCUGUGUGUCUGGAGAGGAGGCAGGAUUCGCUAUCAGUCUCACAAAGAGGGCUGUCCAUGAAUAUAAAUAAAGUGAACUUUGUGUAGGAAAAAGUUUUGGAAAGUGUUGAUUUUAUGUACUGUCCUUAUAUGUGAAUGUGUGACUCAUGGAUCUGAUGCUUUGUAAGUUUUAGGUCACUCCUCAUCACAGCUUGUUGUACAGAGAAAGUAGACAAAAUAUAACCAGCAUUUCUGCUUUUUCUUGGUGUAUGUAUUAGAAUUAGCUUUUACCAAUAUGCCUUACAUUAGUAUAUAUGCCUCAAAUGAUAACUCUGUAUUGCCUGAUGUGCUGCAUACGAGGAAAUGUCUUUUUCUACGGUUCCUGCAUUUACUUGUGGGUUUAGCUGAUCAGUUUGCUUCCAGAACAGGUAUUUGUUCUGGGUGUCAAUAUGAGUACCAGUCAAACAUGGGUAUUUGUUGAUGAGACACUAAGACUCAAGUCCAAAACUUCCUAAUCGCUGAGGAAUAUUAGCUUCACAAUGUGCUCUCUCAAAGUAUACUUUUACCAUUUUAAAGUGUGUAAAAUAAGAAUUAAGUUAUGUUAAAAGCAAUACCUAUGAUAUUCUUAUAAUUGGGCAGCUCCAGUGUCUGGGUUCUCUUGGCAACCACAGACACAAAAAGUAUAUUCCAUGUAUUGUAUUGGAAAGGCUGUUUUAAGCUACCUACAAGCAUGUCUCAUGUAUGUUUUCCAUUUUGACAGAGAUAGUGGGCUAUCGUGUUCAAAUAAAGCACAAUUUUCAAGCAAAACUGAAUAUUUCACAUUUUAAAUUACAAAUGUAAGUAUUUGAAUUGCUGCACUUCAUCUUAUAGUUAAAGUCGUGGCCACUAGAUGUCAUCACAAACAUUGUUAAUGUGUCAGGCUCCCCUUUCCAACAAUUAGGUUCUGCAUCUAAUGCACACUUGUAAAUACCGUUUUGCACAGCUGUAAAUUUGUUUAUAAUAUAUAUAAAUGCACUACCGUUCAAAAGUUUGGGGUCACUUAAAUGUCCUUAUUUCUGAAAGAAAAGCAGCAUUUUUUCAAUGAAGAUAACAUUAAAU